GACGAACGCUGGCGGCGUGCUUAAAACAUGCAAGUCGAACGGUGAAGCUCGGAGCUUGCUCUGAGCGGAUCAGUGGCGAACGGGUGAGUAACACGUGAGUAACCUGCCCUGGACUCUGGGAUAACCUCGGGAAACCGAGGCUAAUACCGGAUACGAGACGCACAGGCAUCUGUAGCGUCUGGAAAGAUUUAUCGGUCCAGGAUGGACUCGCGGCCUAUCAGCUUGUUGGUGGGGUAACGGCCCACCAAGGCGACGACGGGUAGCCGGCCUGAGAGGGUGACCGGCCACACUGGGACUGAGACACGGCCCAGACUCCUACGGGAGGCAGCAGUUGGGAAUAUUGCACAAUGGGCGCAAGCCUGAUGCAGCGACGCCGCGUGAGGGAUGACGGCCUUCGGGUUGUAAACCUCUUUCAGCAGGGAAGAAGCGAAAGUGACGGUACCUGCAGAAGAAGCACCGGCUAACUACGUG
This 471-nucleotide ribosomal RNA is filed under the name uncultured bacterium. RNAcentral's name for it is "bacterial SSU rRNA". It matches the Rfam family "Bacterial small subunit ribosomal RNA", at positions 28 to 507 of the family's 1533-position model. The record is from RNAcentral.